This 530-nucleotide ribosomal RNA is filed under the name uncultured bacterium. RNAcentral describes it as "bacterial SSU rRNA". It matches the Rfam family "Bacterial small subunit ribosomal RNA", at positions 777 to 1297 of the family's 1533-position model. The record is from RNAcentral.
AAUAGAUACCCUGGUAGUCCUAGCCGUAAACGAUGAACACUAGAUGUUGGUGGUAUCAACCCCUUCUGUGCCGCAGUUAACACAAUAAGUACCCCGCCUGGGGAGUACGGCCGCAAGGCUGAAACUCAAAAGAAUUGACGGGGGGCCCGCACAAGCGGUGGAGCAUGUGGUUUAAUUCGACGCAACGCGAAGAACCUUACCAGGGCUUGACAUCCCUUGAUCGUCUUGGAAACAAGGCUUUCCAGUGCUUGCACUGGACAAGGAGACAGGUGGUGCAUGGUUGUCGUCAGCUCGUGUCGUGAGAUGUUGGGUUAAGUCCCGCAACGAGCGCAACCCCUGUUCUUAGUUGCCAGCAUUAAGUUGGGCACUCUAAGGAGACUGCCGGUGACAAACCGGAGGAAGGUGGGGAUGACGUCAAAUCAUCAUGCCCCUUAUGUUCUGGGCUACACACGUGCUACAAUGGCCUAUACAGAGGGGCAGCAAACCCCGGUGAGGGGGAGCCAAUCCCACAAAGUAGGUCCCAGUUCGGA